CGAGGAACCCGCGGCUCGGAUCCGGGAGCGGCGAGGCUGGGUUUAGAAACCCAGUGAGCCUCCCGUUCCAAGGGGCAGUGUAGGGAGGGGUGAGGAGUUUGGGCUUAAAAUGUGUGACCUUGGUAAAUGCUACACAUCGCUGAACUUCUUCGACAACUGGGGACAAUGAUAGCAUCCUCCCCAGUGCGGUGGGAGGAUUCGGUGAGACGCUGUUGGAAAGUCUUAGCACGGUGCCUUGGCAAAAGUGAAGCUCCCUGCAGACCCAUGCUGGUGCUCCCUCUCGGCGCUACAGUGAGUGGCCAGAGGGCUCGGUGUGAGGCCAGGAGACCCGGGCCAGCCUCUGUCUCUGUGACCUUCCCUGGACCUCAGAUUUCCUUCCACGAAGUCAGGAGGGGGUGAGGUCUGCAGGACUCUUCCCACUUACGGUUUUCUGGGGUUUCACCCGUGGCCUAAACGCCUUCAGAAUCGGCGCCCUCUGUCUGGCCCACCCUCCCGCAGAAGGGCAGGGCCAGGUCUCCAGCCCCGCCUUCGCCCUCCCAUCUUCUCAGGAGCACUGAAUGCCCGAGCAAGCAGAAGAGGAAGAGCCAGGUGUCAGAGUUCUGGGAUCCCAGGACAUGAAUCUUUUCCUGCCCCUCGGACAGAGGCUGGGCACAGAGACAGAACCGCUGGCAGGAGCUCUCACCACCUCCAGUGUGCAUUCUGUCCGCUUCCUGCCGUUGGCCUGAGUUGUGGCCUGUAGUUCUGGAUGCAAAUACCCCCACCCCAGCUGCAUGUGACGCAUGCUGAGCCGUCACUGAGCUGGAGGCGCUGUGCUGCGCGUGGCCGUCAAGUCUCACUUUCGUCUCAGAAUCUGGUGGACACCGUCGGUUUCUCCAUUUUACUGAACUUGAGAAAGCUGUGCCCAAUGUCACAUGGUUGUAUUUUCUUCUAUGCAUAUUAAACGUAGCAGAUAUAAUGUGUUCAGCCAAUCCUGGCACGAAUCUGGACUACAUUUCCCAGUCUCCCCUGCAGGAGGCAGCGAAGGACUCCACGACCCUAGGAGACCACCACACUUCUAGUCUGAAGGUGCCUGGAUUCCUGAAUGACCCAGUGGAGUUGAGACCCCCCACUCCCCCUAAUGUUGCCUGAGGGUGAAAUAAACCUUUGUGGGUUAAGUCAGUGGACUCUGGGAUUUGUUUGUUAAAGCAGUUAGCCUGAUACGGUAACAUCAC
RNAcentral lists this long non-coding RNA (1211 nucleotides) under Equus caballus (horse). RNAcentral's name for it is "lncRNA (ENSECAG00000050080.1)". The record is from RNAcentral. Lineage: Eukaryota; Metazoa; Chordata; Mammalia; Perissodactyla; Equidae.